RNAcentral lists this ribosomal RNA (253 nucleotides) under uncultured bacterium. RNAcentral's name for it is "partial 16S ribosomal RNA". It matches the Rfam family "Bacterial small subunit ribosomal RNA", at positions 524 to 776 of the family's 1533-position model. The record is from RNAcentral.
UACAGAGGUCUCAAGCGUUGUUCGGAUUCAUUGGGCGUAAAGGGUGCGUAGGCGGCGCGGUAAGUCGGGUGUGAAAUCUUGGAGCUUAACUCCGAAACUGCAUUCGAUACUGCCGUGCUUGAGGACUGGAGAGGAGACUGGAAUUUACGGUGUAGCGGUGAAAUGCGUAGAUAUCGUAAGGAAGACCAGUGGCGAAGGCGGGUCUCUGGGACGGUACUGACGCUGAGGCGCGAAAGCGUGGGGAGCAAACAGG